UACGGAGGGUGCAAACGUUGCUCGGAAUCAUUGGGCGUAAAGCGCACGUAGGCGGCCUGUUAAGUCGGGUGUGAAAGCCCUGGGCUCAACCUGGGAAUGGCGAUGGAUACUGGCUCGCUAGAGUGCGGUAGAGGAGAGUGGAAUUCCCGGUGUAGCAGUGAAAUGCGUAGAUAUCAGGAGGAACACCGAUGGCGAAGGCAGGUCUCUGGGCCGAUACUGACGCUGAGGAGCGAAAGCGUGGGGAGCGAACAGG
This 253-nucleotide ribosomal RNA is filed under the name uncultured bacterium. RNAcentral describes it as "partial 16S ribosomal RNA". It matches the Rfam family "Bacterial small subunit ribosomal RNA", at positions 524 to 776 of the family's 1533-position model. The record is from RNAcentral.